This is a long non-coding RNA of Felis catus (domestic cat), 2659 nucleotides long. RefSeq lists it as uncharacterized. The transcript is spliced from 6 exons. NCBI's taxonomy places the organism in Eukaryota, Metazoa, Chordata, Mammalia, Carnivora, Felidae. The record is from RefSeq and is a predicted model, not a curated record.
CGCUCGGAUCUACCGCUCUGGGUGACCCCACCCCUGCUCUCCCGCAGGUGUUCCACGUGUCCAUAGCGUUUACGUCACAAUGACCUGGCCGACAGGUGGGAGCCGCAGCGAACGUCCCAGGGUUCCCUCUGCGCUGUGCAUGGCCAAGGUGAAAACUUGGGCGGUGACUCAAUGCAAGCGAAAAGUGGCUUUGAAGACAGUGUCUUAAGGUGAACAAAUAUGUUCUACAAGCAGUAUCAGGUCAGCAUGGCACUGAAAUUCCUUGGGCUCCCAGAGAGUUUAAGGCUUCGAUGAAGAGAGGAGAUUUAUUUUACACCGAAGAGAAAGUCUCUAGACUAACCUUGAGAUUCUUCCAAGUGCUAGAUAGAAGUCCAUGCCUUCUUUCUCCUUGCUGCUGCCACAUGACAAAGGUGAAGCCUUUGAGAGCUGAUUCAGAGUCCUUAUAAAAAACAUCCCAGAGAACUCCCUCUCUGUGUGAAGACACAGAAGACAGCUGUCUACAAACCAGAAGGCGGGCUCUCACCAGACACUGAACCUGCCAGGACCUUGACGUUGGACUCCUCCACCUCCAGAACUAUUUUUCUUUCGGCCCCUUGUGCAGUGGUUACCGGAACCUGUCGUUCUGUCCAUUCAGAACUACUCCUUUAUUCAUCGAAAUUAAGUGGGAUUCUUAAAUUUAAUAUUAGAGGACACAAUUUUGUGCCAUUUCUUCCUGGGGAGUGGAAGCUAAGAGAGAAGCUCAAGAGCUGUCAAUGGUCAUGUUUUCACCAUGUGCAGGAAUCCAGUCAAUAGCAAGAAAGAAUGAAGCCCAGGGGGGAGAAGAAGAGAUUCCCCCAGGGGGGAAUGAAGCCAUGGGGAGAAGAAGAGAUGAGAGAUAGGGAGCAAUCUGCUGGUGGUAUUCAAAGCCGUGAUUCAAAUUGUCCCCAAUCCUUGUCGUUCCAGAAGCUGAUUGUCAUUAAUCCUGUCCUUCCAGAAGCUGGUUGUUCCAACCCUCCUUACAUCACAUGAAACACCCCUGUACCUUCCUAUAAAGUCCCCACUUUUACCUAAGCCAGUUAGAAAUAAGUUUCUGUCACUUGCAAACAAAGGAUCUAGAUGAGAAUAGCCUAUAAGGUCUUUCAUGAUAUGGUCCCAAGCUUCUCAAUUCCAUCUUCACAAAACCCUCAGGAAGAUACUCAGCUGCAAAUAACAGAACACAGACAAACAGAUUUAAAUAAUAAAGGCAUUCCUUUCUCUCUCAUACCUGGAAGUGUAGACAAAGACAGAGAUAGUUCCAGAGAUGGUUUAUCAGUUUGACCAAAUGAUAAUGCUUUAGUCAGCUCUGCAGUUCUUGGGGUCUUUUCCUUGAUCAAGGAAGAAAGCAGCUCCAGACAGUCUUUAAGACCUAUGUGAGCGUUCCAGACAAGGAAGAAGGUGGCAAUCGCCUUCUCCUUGGGAGGGUCUGUUUUGAGCCUGGAAGGGAAGUUCAGCUGACUUCUCCUUGGAUCUCCUUGGCCAAAACUGGGCCACACGCCCAACCCCAGACUCAUGAUUGUGAAGUGAAAAUUACUUUGACCCCUUCCCUAACUGUCCUUACUUCAAUGGGUCUGUGUCAAUUAUAUGAGAUUCAGUUAACAGAGAAAGGAAAAUGGAACGAUAGCAUAGUCAAGGAAACAUGUCUACCACACAUAUUUCCAUUAUCCUCCCCUGUCCUUCCCCUGCCACCAUUGCUACCAUUAUCCCAAUUUUAAGAGCCAGACUUAUCAAACUGCCUUCAACCAAGCAUACUGUGCUCUCUGUGGUUUCUUUGGCCUCUGUGGGCCUUUGCUCAUAACCUUUGCUCUGCCCACAACAGAUUCUCCAUCCUUCAUUUAAUAGUUUCUUGGUUUUUGUGGGUCCUUCUCCCUUCAGGCCUCAGCUUAGAUAUCACUUCCUGUGGAAAGUCUUCGUUGACCCCCAGUUCCAUAGCACCCUCCUGUUAGUCCUGUCAUAGGAUCUGUGGGAUCAUAUGGUAAUUUUCUAUUUAUAUAUUUUCUACUAGACCGUAAACUCUUUGAUGGCUUAUUGACUGGGUCUUAUUUCUCUAUGGUCUCACACAGAGCCUGCACAUAGUAGAUGAUCACUAAAUACUUGUAGAAGUAAAAGAACUGAAGCAUUUUUUGAGGGCACUCAAAAUCAACUUAUGUUAAAAUUGCUUUAAAAAACUCAUAAGAACAUAGGUGUUAAUUUGUUUCUGAUUUUUGUUAAAGGGAAUAAACAAAAGAGUGAUUUGUUUAGAAAAAUUCCUGAUAGACCUUUGCAUUUAAAAAGUCAUGGCUGUGAUGGCUUUGAAAGAGCAUAGCAAAGGAUGAUUUUUCACUUAGGGCAAUAUUCAUUCUGUUUGUCUCACAUAAGAGCUAAAGAUUCAAAAGCUUUUAAUCAAAAGCUGCUUGGGAUGCUCUCUUUGCUCCCCCCUCACGUGUGUGUGUGUGUGUGUCUCAAAAUAAAUAAAAAAUAAUUUAAAAAAGAAAUGUCUUCACCUCUAGGUCCUAGGUUGGGACCUAGGACCUAGGUCGGGACCUAGGUCCUAGGUCCCAUUAAGAGCUUUUGAUCGGUCCUUACAUGAUUUUUCUUUUUUUAAUUUAUUUUUUUUAAUGUUUUUAUUUAUUUUUGAGACAGAGAGAGAGCGAGCAUGAGUGAG